UACGUAGGGUGCAAGCGUUGUCCGGAAUUAUUGGGCGUAAAGAGCUCGUAGGCGGUUUGUCGCGUCUGCUGUGAAAACUCGGGGCUUAACUCCGGGCCUGCAGUGGGUACGGGCAGACUAGAGUUCGGUAGGGGAGUCUGGAAUUCCUGGUGUAGCGGUGAAAUGCGCAGAUAUCAGGAGGAACACCGGUGGCGAAGGCGGGACUCUGGGCCGAUACUGACGCUGAGGAGCGAAAGCGUGGGGAGCGAACAGG
This 253-nucleotide ribosomal RNA is filed under the name uncultured bacterium. Its description in RNAcentral is "partial 16S ribosomal RNA". It matches the Rfam family "Bacterial small subunit ribosomal RNA", at positions 524 to 776 of the family's 1533-position model. The record is from RNAcentral.